AUGUCGAUCGUGCGGCGGAGCAACGUGUUCGACCCCUUCGCCGACCUCUGGGCGGACCCCUUCGACACCUUCCGCUCCAUCGUCCCGGCGAUCUCUGGCGGCAGCAGCGAGACGGCCGCGUUCGCCAACGCCCGGAUGGACUGGAAGGAGACCCCCGAGGCGCACGUCUUCAAGGCCGACCUCCCCGGCGUGAAGAAGGAGGAGGUCAAGGUGGAGGUGGAGGACGGCAACGUGCUCGUCGUCAGCGGCGAGCGCACAAAGGAGAAGGAGGACAAGAACGACAAGUGGCACCGCGUGGAGCGCAGCAGCGGCAAGUUUGUCAGGCGGUUCCGGCUGCCGGAGGACGCCAAGGUGGAGGAGGUGAAGGCCGGGCUGGAGAACGGCGUGCUCACCGUCACCGUGCCCAAGGCCGAGGUCAAGAAGCCCGAGGUCAAGGCCAUCGAGAUAUCCGGCUGA
This 456-nucleotide ribosomal RNA is filed under the name Triticum aestivum (bread wheat). RNAcentral describes it as "partial small subunit ribosomal RNA". The record is from RNAcentral. Lineage: Eukaryota; Viridiplantae; Streptophyta; Magnoliopsida; Poales; Poaceae.